This 84-nucleotide transfer RNA is filed under the name Kiritimatiella glycovorans. It matches the Rfam family "tRNA". Rfam says of the family: Transfer RNA (tRNA) molecules are approximately 80 nucleotides in length. Their secondary structure includes four short double-helical elements and three loops (D, anti-codon, and T loops). The record is from Rfam by way of RNAcentral. Lineage: Bacteria; Pseudomonadati; Kiritimatiellota; Kiritimatiellia; Kiritimatiellales; Kiritimatiellaceae.
GCCCGGGUGGCGGAAUCGGUAGACGCAACGGACUUAAAAUCCGUUUUCCGUAUGGAAGUGCGGGUUCGAAUCCCGCCCCGGGCA